Molecule: non-coding RNA, 37 nt
Filed under: Planktothrix rubescens
Lineage: Bacteria; Bacillati; Cyanobacteriota; Cyanophyceae; Oscillatoriales; Microcoleaceae
Also listed under: 1 other name
Source: RNAcentral
AUUAAAAUCGCCUAUAAUCCCUAUCAGGGAUUGAAAC